AAGGGGAGCGCCAGAUCCUGGGCUGUGUCCCCCGGUACCUUGGGCUCUGGGGCCUGUGCUGCUGGAAUCCUGCUCCUGGGGCCGCAUAGCCCCCU
This 95-nucleotide microRNA precursor is filed under the name Canis lupus familiaris (dog). Its description in RNAcentral is "mir-8799 microRNA precursor family". It matches the Rfam family "mir-8799 microRNA precursor family". RNAcentral also lists the same sequence under 1 other name. The record is from Rfam by way of RNAcentral. Lineage: Eukaryota; Metazoa; Chordata; Mammalia; Carnivora; Canidae.